This is a long non-coding RNA of Aethina tumida (small hive beetle), 6011 nucleotides long. RefSeq lists it as uncharacterized. NCBI's taxonomy places the organism in Eukaryota, Metazoa, Arthropoda, Insecta, Coleoptera, Nitidulidae. The record is from RefSeq and is a predicted model, not a curated record. The transcript is spliced from 3 exons.
UUGCGAUCUUCAAAAUCUUUGUACCAAGGUAUGUUGAUAUAGAUAUAUUUUAUUACCUUGGAAACACUGAACAACAUAGUUGGCAUGUUUAUUAGAAAUCUAGUAGCACAUCUUUUGUCAAUAUUGUUUGUUGCUACUAUAGAAACGAGAAAACAUUUAAGAUACUUCGACGGAUGCAACACAACUGAAUCAGUAUUCCGACAACCACUGCAAGGUGAACAUCAUGAACAGAAAUAUAUAAGAAUGAUUGAAGUUAUACAAGAAGUCAUAGUGGUGUUCAUAUUGAAGAAGUAUUGAAGCCAUUCACAAUACGGAAGAUCCUACCUAAUGGUCGAAGCACUUUUAACCAAGGUAUCGUUAUGGAUGUUAUUAGCUUUUUAAACAUUGAACAAUCUCUAAACUUUUAUUGAGAAUAUAGUAACAAAUCAUUUGAUAUUUGAUGUGGUUGCUAUAGAAAAGUGAAAUCAUUUGAAGAUUUUUCGUUCAGUGAGAUACACACACAAAUCUGGGCUCCAAUAACUCAGUGUGUUUCCACUCCAAUAGAUGUUGUAUUGCACUUCGCAUAAGUAAGACAUCAUGAAGAAAUAGAGAAGUAUUUGUUCCACUCACGGUAGAAGCAAGAAAGAUUGGAGAUCCACAAGAAAAGCGAAGGCCAAAAGUCUAAUAGAGAAAUGCGGUACAACGGAAAAUGUGCCCCUUGAGUGGAACUCUUCACCUAUAAGCAAGAUAUUUUUUAGACUAGUCUGAUGAAAUUCCGAACCUCAGAAUCUUUAUACCAAGGUAUUAUAGAUCCAUUUUAUUACCUUAUAAACAGUGAACAAGAUAGUUGGCACUGUUUUAUUGAAAAUCUAGUAGUAUAUCUUUUUUCAAUGUUGUGUUGCUACCAUAGAAACGAGAAAACAAAAACAAGAUACUUCGACGCAUGCAUCAUAACUGAAUCAUUACUCCGGCAAGCAUUGAACAGUGAACAUCAUAAAACUAAGAAUGAACUUAUACAAAUAUGCGAAGUGGUUCAGAAAAGUGAAAUCUGAAGAUUGGAGUCAUACAAGGAAAUCUAUGCUUCAAUACAAGUUGUAUUGAAUCAGUGCAGGAGUAAGGAAGUUACAACCAAGUGUGACAUCCUCGAAUAAGUCUGAUCUACUGUUGAAAUUAACCCGAGCUUCAUGCAAAGCAGAAGUACACAAGAAAAUGACAUAAAAUGUAUAUGAACAUGAAAAUUGUUCAUAUACCACCAGCAAAAGAAAGCAGUUCCAUAAUAAUAAAGAAAGAACAAUCUCAAACAACAUAGGAGCAAAUUAAUAUGUGCACCCCAAUAAAAAGAAGUUUCUUCAUUGGAAACAAGAUGUGCUGCCCCAAUAAUUAUGAAUCCUGACUGGCCAAUCCAACAAUCAUCUAAAGUUAAUUAUUGCCGCUUGUCCAGAAACAAAAUACAACAUUUGGAGAUAUAUGUAUUCAUAAAAUUGAAAUUUGGAUCAUCAAAAUAGCUUCAGAGAAAACAAACAUAUGAUACAUAGUUAUACAUAAUUUGUUUGUUCUUUUCUUUAAAGUUAUUUGGAUGGUCCAAAUUCCAGUAAUUAUUUCGGUUUAUUUAUUGUAACCUACUAGCAUGGUUAUACUAUCAAAUUUUAUAAUUUUCAAAAAGCUGAGAACAAUGUUUCGCGUUUAAACUUUUUGGGACCGGUACACGAAAUUCAAUAUUCCAGUAACUAUUUGAAAGUUUUCCAUUUUUUAUAAUUUUGUUAUUGAGAACAGUAAUCUACAAUAACUAUAUUUUCCAAAUUCCAGUACUUUAUAUUUUUCAAAACUGUAAUCGAUAAGAGCAAUCAUAUUGUCAAAAUUCUAGUAAGAUAGCCACUUUUCACUAAUGGCUAUUACUUAACCGAGGGUCAAAGUGGAUAUGAACAUCUAAUCUAGAAUAGAAGCUAAAAACCUACUAUUUUGAUCAAAUUUUUAAUAUUGUCGCAUGAUUUUAACUAUAUAUAAUAUAUUUAUUAUUAACAUAAAUAAAAUUCAACCAAAUUCCAGUAAUUAUUUAAAGAUUACCAUUUCUUACAAAUGGUAUAUCGCACAGGAGGGGGGAUAUUUCAUAAUUUUAUUUUAUAGAAGCCUUUUAUUCCUCUGGAGUUUAAAAUUUUAUUUAAAUACAUAUACAAUUUUCUUUGUGUCAGUAAAUGUCAUGAAAAUCCACAUAUUUUUAAAUUUAUACUACUCUUACAUAUGGUAUAAAUUCAAGUAAUUAAUAUAUUAACUCAUUAUUGGACAUCACAAUAUGCUAUACAUUAGGAUAUUAUCUUCAAACAUCAAAUUAUAUUAUCUUUUUAUAUUUUUAUAUUUAUAAUCUAUUAAGAAUGUUUUACAAUAGUAUUUACUGUUUUAUUCGUUCAUUUUUUAGAUUAUUACUAAAAUUAAAAUCAAAUUGUCUAAAUUCCAGUGGUUCUUUACAAGAUAUCCAUUUUAUACAAAUGGAAUCUUAUUUUUAUCAGCGGCAGUCACAAUAAGGUACACUAACGAAGGUGUAGUGGAAUGACGGUGAAAAAAGUACGAAGCAUAUCAAACUGCAAAAAAGACAUUGACAAUUUUAAUUACAUUAACUUAUACACAAAAUACACUAUUGUAUAUUCAAUUAUUUUAUACAUUUGUUUUAUAAACUACUAUAUAUUAUAUUGUUUAGAUCACAUAUAUAAUGAAUAGAAUUAACUAAAUUCCAGUGAUGAAAUAACAGACGUAAAAUAAUAACAACAGUCACUGCGUUAUCUUAUACAUAUAUAUAUAUAAUAAAAUUAACUAAAUUCCAGUGAUUCUAGACACCAAUUUUUACAUGUGGAAUAUCGAAUACUUAUUAGUGGGGAAUCAUAGCAUUAUUAUAGCCAAACAACAAAAUUUGCGUUAUACUAUAAUGAGAUGAUUAAAUAUUCCAGUGAUUAAUUUUUUUUCAAAUGGUAUGUAUAUCGAAUUAACAUCUAAAUAAGUAGGGACAAUCUUAUAUGUUAGACGAUCACAAUAACAUGCAAAUACACUCGUUUAAUACGUGUAGUAGAAUGACGGUGAAAAUAGUGGAAAAUACGGAAUAUGUAAAAUUCUAUAAGACAUAAAGCUUUAAUUACAUUUUUAUAUGAUUGAACAUAUACACAACCACCUAGCACUCAAACGACUUUACUAUUAACACAUUUACAUUUUUACUAUUUUAUACAUUUGUUUUAUGUACGACUUGAAUCACUUAGGAUUAACAUAAAUAACUAAAUCCCAGUGAUUUUAACAUCUAAUAUCGAAUAACAUUAGUGGAAAUCAUGACAAUUUGUUAUGAGUUUUAUACCACGACAAAAUAAUUAAAGGACGGAAAGUAAUAACAACAGUCACUGCCUUAUCCUAUGAGACGAAUUAAAAUGAACUAUAUAUUAUAGAUGGGGACCAUUUUGGGUUUUACGACUGACAAUCGCUUAUCUUUUUAUUAGCGGCAGUCAGAAUUUAGUACUAGUACACUCGUAAAAAAUGUGCAUAAACUAUGACACUGACAAUUUUACAUUUUAUAUAUUUUUUAAUUAUAUUUUUUAAUAAAUACACAGAACAUAAUAGCACUCAAACGACUCCUGAUUUACACAUUUCCUUUAUUCGCUACUGUACUAUAUGGAUCAAAUAAAAUAAGAACAGAAUUGACUAAAUUCCAGUGAUUAUUACAAUUAAAUAACGGACGUAAAAUAAUCAACAGUCACUGUCGUAUCCUAAAGAGACGAAUAAAAUUAAGUAAAUGCCAGUGAUUCAUUUUUAACAAAUGGUAUGUAUAUCGAAUAAACAACGGAUUAUUGAGGACCAUCACAUGUUUUAUGACUGGUAUUUCGCUUAUUCUUAUCAGCGGCAGCCACCAUAAGGUACAAGUACACUUAUUAUUUAAUACUUGUAGUGUGGAAUGACUGAAAAAAAAAUGGAAAAAAUAUUAGCCGUACAAGAUGACAUUGAUAAUUUUACAUUACAUUUUUAUUUGGUUCAACUUAUACAGAACCUAAAGAUUUUAUCUAUUUACUAUUUUAUACAUUUGUUUUACACACUACACUACUAAAUCUAGAUUACUUAUUCUAUGAACAGAAUUAACUAAAUUCCAGUAAUUCUAACAACUAAUCCAUGUAUUUAUUUCAAUUAAAUAACGGACUCAAUGUAAUAACAAACACUGCCUUAUUCUAUUAUGACUAAAUUCCAGUGAUCCAUUUUUAGCAAAUAGUAUGUAUAUAUUGGUGGGACCAUUUUAAAUAUACAUUUUCCCAGGAUUCCAUCAUAUUACAUACUUUUAUAAAAGUGGUAUUAAGGUAUGAAUCGGUAGAUCUGUAUCACAUGUUAAACUUAUACAAAACACACACACUUAUCUAAAUUCCAGUGAUUUUAAGAAUUUCCAUUUGUUACAAAUGGUACGGCGUUAAUGGGGAAUCAUAUUAUAUAUAUUUUCAACUAAUAAUAGGCUAUUUUUUUUAAACAGUCACAAUAUGGUAAAAAUACUUAAUUACUAGAAAGACGGUGAACCAAAAGUACAAAUUUGCAGUAGUGUAUGACAAAUCACAAUUUCAACGACACUCAAACGAUUUAAUAUUUUUGAACUAUUUAAUUUUGUGUACUGGAUCAAAGUAUACGCUUAACUAAAUUCCAGUGAUUUCUAAACAUUAAUUAAUUUUUUUUUUAUAAAUAAUAUAUAUAUAAGGGAAGGAAUACCAUGACAUUACUGCAUACAAAGAAAAUACGACUUGACGGUUUUGAUACAAAUAAUAAAAUAACUAACGGACGUAAAAUACAGUCACAGCCUUAUUCCUACCAAGAGACAUCACUUUUAUAGAUGCCAUCAAUUUAAUGCGCUAUAACGACUAAUAUACAUUUUAUACACAUGAACUAUUUACACUGUGCUAUUUAUUUCGAGGCUUGCAUUUCCUUAACUCAUUACAUAUUGAUACACUUUUAUACAUCCCUGUUUAUAUUUAUUUAGUAUAUUUGAUUUAAUGCAGUAGAAUGUGUUCAUCAUUUAUUAUAUAUUAUAUUUACUCUUGAAAUACACCUUACACUAACUAAAAAUCUAGCAUUAACUAGAGCUCAUAUUUCCUUAGCUAAAUAUCUAACAACAACAAAAUACAUCCAGACAAUGUAAACCCAUCAGAAUGUAUAACAUCAUAAAGAACCCACACAUACACUCAGAUUUUCGACCUUGGUGAUAUCACUUUUAUACAAUAUCACCUAUUUUAUAUCCUUUGAACUAUUUACUAUAUUAUACUAUUUAUACCGAUCCGAUUAUUUUAUUCCAUAGAACCCACACAUACAUGAAUCCAUAUACAAUAACCUUAUACUACGACCUGCUUAGUGGUAUCGCUUUUAUAUUGAUAUCACUAAUUUUAUCUUCACUGAAGCUAUUUUAUAUUAUACAGUAUAUUUCAAUUUAUACAAUAUAUUUAUACAUUAUUGCCGCUUUUCCAAGGAUCUAUGAUCACAUUAUAAGGUACGUUCAACCUAUAGUUGAUGUAGAUUCACUAUUAAGGCUCUUAUAUUUGUUGCUUAUAAUACAUUUCACAUUUCCAUGCAUAUUACAUAUAAUAAAUUGGUAUAUUGAUUUCCGGCUCGCACUUCCUAACAUGUUAAUAUUAAUAUAGCAUAAUUUGGUAGUCGUAAAUAUAGUUACAUUUCUUCAAAAAAAAAAAAAUAUAUUCAUAUUUGCCACUAAAAUGUAAUAACACAACGACCUUUAUCAGUUUCUCAUAGAUGUCCCCAUCCAAUUCCAUCUUUGGUGAAGUGUCUUAUUGAUGUGGUUUUCAACACUUCAUGGGGGCUUCUAUGGAACAAACAUUCAGACAUAUCCCCUCCAUCGGUUGUUGUUAAAAAGCAUUGCGGUGAAAAAUAUGAAACAAAAAUAUUGUUUCCACAUAACGUAAUUAUAAAUGAUAAAAAAUAACCAGCGCUAAUAGGACAAGUUCGACAUUGUUUUUUAUCUAAUAAUUAAAUAUUGUUGGAGACCAUUGUUAAUUAAAUAGAAUAUGUUGUUCCUA